This 501-nucleotide ribosomal RNA is filed under the name uncultured bacterium. RNAcentral describes it as "partial 16S ribosomal RNA". It matches the Rfam family "Bacterial small subunit ribosomal RNA", at positions 30 to 523 of the family's 1533-position model. The record is from RNAcentral.
AUUGAACGCUGGCGGCAGGCUUAACACAUGCAAGUCGAGCGGGGGAAGGUAGCUUGCUACCGGACCUAGCGGCGGACGGGUGAGUAAUGCUUAGGAAUCUGCCUAUUAGUGGGGGACAACAUCUCGAAAGGGAUGCUAAUACCGCAUACGUCCUACGGGAGAAAGCAGGGGAUCUUCGGACCUUGCGCUAAUAGAUGAGCCUAGGUCGGAAUAGCUAGUUGGUGGGGUAAAGGACUACCAAGGCGACGAUCUGUAGCGGGUCUGAGAGGAUGAUCCGCCACACUGGGACUGAGACACGGCCCAGACUCCUACGGGAGGCAGCAGUUGGGAAUAUUGGACAAUGGGGGGAACCCUGAUCCAGCCAUGCCGCGUGUGUGAAGAAGGCCUUAUGGUUGUAAAGCACUUUAAGCGAGGAGGAGGCUACUCUAGUUAAUACCUAGGGAUAGUGGACGUUACUCGCAGAAUAAGCACCGGCUAACACUGUGCCAGCAGCCGCAGUAA